RNAcentral lists this ribosomal RNA (253 nucleotides) under uncultured bacterium. RNAcentral describes it as "partial 16S ribosomal RNA". It matches the Rfam family "Bacterial small subunit ribosomal RNA", at positions 524 to 776 of the family's 1533-position model. The record is from RNAcentral.
UACGGAGGGUGCAAGCGUUAAUCGGAAUUACUGGGCGUAAAGCGUGCGCAGGCGGUUUUGUAAGACAGUGGUGAAAUCCCCGGGCUCAACCUGGGAACUGCCAUUGUGACUGCAAAGCUAGAGUGCGGCAGAGGGGGAUGGAAUUCCGCGUGUAGCAGUGAAAUGCGUAGAUAUGCGGAGGAACACCGAUGGCGAAGGCAAUCCCCUGGGCCUGCACUGACGCUCAUGCACGAAAGCGUGGGGAGCAAACAGG